This 175-nucleotide signal recognition particle RNA is filed under the name Cryptomonas paramaecium. RNAcentral's name for it is "Cryptomonas paramecium partial Protozoan signal recognition particle RNA". It matches the Rfam family "Metazoan signal recognition particle RNA", at positions 95 to 253 of the family's 299-position model. Rfam says of the family: The signal recognition particle (SRP) is a universally conserved ribonucleoprotein. It is involved in the co-translational targeting of proteins to membranes. Lineage: Eukaryota; Cryptophyceae; Cryptomonadales; Cryptomonadaceae. The record is from RNAcentral.
AAAGGCCCGCUUUCGCGAUGCCGAUCCCGCGCCGACUUCAAGGUGGCGGUCACCAUUGUGCGCUCGGCGGAGGCUGAGCACACUUGGGUGAUGAUGCGAGGCGUAACGCCACAGGCUGGAAACAGAGCACGGAGAAGCUUCCGCCGUCACCAGUGGAGCGAUCACGUGGGUGAGU